GAUUUCUGGUUUGAUGUACCUGUCCCGCCACGGUAACGUGUGUGAGUGACGGUGUAUAUCUGCCAUCCUUCCAGAGAAUAUAAGCUACCCUUUAUUGGGCCGGUUUAUACCAUCUGGAUCUUUUACUUUGAAAAAAUUAGAGUGUUUCAAGCAGGCUUUUGCUAUGAAUACAUUAGCAUGGAAUAAUAAUUUAGGACUUCGGUUCUAUUUUGUUGGUUUCUAGGACUGAAGUAAUGAUUGAUAGGGAUAGUUGGGGGUGCUAGUAUUCAGCGGCCAGAGGUGAAAUUCUUGGAUUCGCUGAAGACUAACUUAUGCGAAAGCAUU
RNAcentral lists this ribosomal RNA (324 nucleotides) under Allapsidae sp. Its description in RNAcentral is "SSU rRNA". The stretch from base 55 to 324 matches the Rfam family "Eukaryotic small subunit ribosomal RNA", at positions 684 to 955 of the family's 1831-position model. Lineage: Eukaryota; Cercozoa; Glissomonadida; Viridiraptoridae. The record is from RNAcentral.